RNAcentral lists this ribosomal RNA (253 nucleotides) under uncultured bacterium. Its description in RNAcentral is "partial 16S ribosomal RNA". It matches the Rfam family "Bacterial small subunit ribosomal RNA", at positions 524 to 776 of the family's 1533-position model. The record is from RNAcentral.
UACGUAGGGUGCAAGCGUUGUCCGGAAUUAUUGGGCGUAAAGAGCUCGUAGGCGGUUUGUUGCGUCGGCUGUGAAAUCCCGAGGCUCAACCUCGGGUCUGCAGUCGAUACGAGCAAACUAGAGUGUUGCAGGGGAGACUGGAAUUCCUGGUGUAGCGGUGAAAUGCGCAGAUAUCUGGAGGAACACCGGUGGCGAAGGCGGCAUCCUGGACCGGCAUUGACGCUGAGGAGCGAAAGCCAGGGGAGCAAACGGG